CAAAAUACACGCUGUUCUUUUGUGCUCAUUAAAUUCAUGCUGCUGCAGUUGUUAACAUCGUGGCCUCAAACUCGCAAUCAGCAGGAUUGACUUCAGCUCCAGAGUUGACUUUGGAAUUUAUUUCUGACAUUCAGCCAUCUCUAGCAUAGAAUUAUUUGGGGGGAUUAGAUAAGGGAACACUGAAGACCUCACACACUGUCUGAAUAUGGUCAACAUUUGCUGUCUGCUGAAUCAGAAACCUCAAUUACCCUGAAAAGAUGGCUGGCUGUCACACUCUUAGCACAGGUCUCUGCUUUCAGAAAGGAGCCCGUCUCACGGCUCAGGAAGCCUGCAGUGCACAGUUAAGGCAAGGAUGCUCUUCACCUCACUCUUUGUCUCAGGUUUUCUCACACAUUUUCUGAGAGAAGAUUUUUCAGGUUUGAAGCUCAACAUACAGGAGAGUGGGGGACACAGCUCCAGUCAGGAAAUCUUAUACCAGAACAUGAAUCUCAAGUCAACAACCCAAAUUUCUACCUUAAGAUAUUUCCAAAAGAAAACCAAACGGAAAUGACGAAAAGCAAAGAUCAUGGAAGAAAUCAGAUUAGAAUCAGUAACAGUGAUGGACGUUUAUUAAACCAAAUUCAUUUUUAAUU
Molecule: long non-coding RNA, 632 nt
Organism: Mastomys coucha (southern multimammate mouse)
Lineage: Eukaryota; Metazoa; Chordata; Mammalia; Rodentia; Muridae
Exons: 3
Source: RefSeq, a predicted model, not a curated record